GACGAACGCUGGCGGCGUGCUUAACACAUGCAAGUCGAACCGAAAGGCCCUGCUUUUGUGGGGUGCUCGAGUGGCGAACGGGUGAGUAACACGUGAGUAACCUGCCCUUGACUUUGGGAUAACUUCAGGAAACUGGGGCUAAUACCGGAUAGGAGCUCCUGCUGCAUGGUGGGGGUUGGAAAGUUUCGGCGGUUGGGGAUGGACUCGCGGCUUAUCAGCUUGUUGGUGGGGUAGUGGCUUACCAGGGCUUUGACGGGUAGCCGGCCUGAGAGGGUGACCGCCCAUUUGGGGGGUGAGAUGCGCCCGACACCUCCGGGGGGGAGCGGAGGGGGAAAUUUCGCAAAGGGGGCGAGCGUGUGGCGGCAAAGCCGCGCGCGGGGGGAGGGGGCUUGGGUUUUGAACCCCUCUUUGCCGGGGCACAGCGUUUUGGGACGGUAAAUGGAGAAGAAGGCCCCGGUAACUACGUG
This 467-nucleotide ribosomal RNA is filed under the name uncultured bacterium. RNAcentral's name for it is "partial 16S ribosomal RNA". It matches the Rfam family "Bacterial small subunit ribosomal RNA", at positions 28 to 507 of the family's 1533-position model. The record is from RNAcentral.